Molecule: ribosomal RNA, 253 nt
Filed under: uncultured bacterium
Lineage: Bacteria
Description: partial 16S ribosomal RNA
Rfam family: Bacterial small subunit ribosomal RNA
Source: RNAcentral
UACAGAGGUCCCAAGCGUUGUUCGGAUUCACUGGGCGUAAAGGGUGCGCAGGUGGCUUGGUAAGUUAGAGGUGAAAGCCUGGAGCUCAACUCCAGAAUUGCCUUUAAGACUGCAUCGCUUGAAUCGCGGAGAGGUGAGUGGAAUUCCGAGUGUAGAGGUGAAAUUCGUAGAUAUUCGCAAGAACACCAGUGGCGAAGGCGGCUCACUGGCCCGAUACUGACGCUGAGGCACGAAAGCGUGGGGAGCAAACAGG